RNAcentral lists this long non-coding RNA (1035 nucleotides) under Mytilus galloprovincialis (Mediterranean mussel). The record is from RNAcentral. Lineage: Eukaryota; Metazoa; Mollusca; Bivalvia; Mytilida; Mytilidae.
GGCCAACUAAAAUUAAUUAGUAGAUUUUCAUCCAAAUUUUUGAAAAAAAUGGGGCGGGUGGGAGGAUUUAAUUUUUUAAUUUUUAUUUCUUAUGAAACCCUCUUGUGACGUGUUCUUCAAAUAUGCAAGUGUAAUAAUAAGCUUAUAUUAUGUAUAUACAUAUAUAUAUAUGGAAUCGUACACAAUAUUUCAAAUCUUAACAUGAAUGAAAAUCUCUAAUUGGCAACCACUGUUCUACAUGUAAUUGCUGCUUUAGAAACCUAAACAGCAAAAACAUAAAAGAAGAAUGCUCUCUUUAGUUGGACUACCUUCACCAAAUUUAGUGUCUUUUUAAGGAACAUUUUUUUGUCUCCAUAAAAUGAAACAAAUAUGCAACUAAAGAAUUACGAGUUCAGAAUAAAAUGAAACCGUUUUGAAAACGAAAGGGUUGGUGCUUUUAUGAUUCUUCUUAUAGAUGCAAAUAUAAUUUUAAAAUAUGUAAAAAAUGAACUUAACCAAAAAGGAGAUGUUUAAUGGAUCUAUUGAGGAUAUUGGGACAGAAGGUGUGUGUGCUGUCUGUCAACAAAAAAGACAUGGGUAAAUCUAAGAAGUGUGACGGGAUUGCUUCCCCUAGAAAAACUUAGUAUACACUUAGUCAGCCGUAAGCGGUGGAGCUAAGGAAGUACUUCUUUAGCUCAGUCGGUUAGCGCGCUGCCUUGUAACACAGAGGUCCUGGGGUUCGAGUCCCGGUGGAGACAAGCAAUUUUGUAAUGAAAUUCGUGCUCUCCGAUUAAAGUAUGUUUGCCGACUUUUUGAACUCAAUUAUAUUGUAAUAAAUCUAACAAGUUCGUGUUUGCGUCAUUUCAUUUAUACAGUAAUGGUAUUCUACUAGUGUGUUCCACGAUUCAUGCUCUUUGGGUAUAAUUCACAGUCCAAAAUUCCUUCCACAAAGUCAUUUUAUCAAUACAAAAAUCAAUAGUUUUCUAAAUCACAGAAAUGUGUGUCAUGCCGUGAUUUGCCAUCUUGGACACAGCGUAUUACUUGUAAUCCGAUUAU